Molecule: ribosomal RNA, 468 nt
Filed under: uncultured bacterium
Lineage: Bacteria
Description: partial 16S ribosomal RNA
Rfam family: Bacterial small subunit ribosomal RNA
Source: RNAcentral
GACGAACGCUGGCGGCGUGCUUAACACAUGCAAGUCGAACGGAAAGGCCCUGCUUUUGUGGGGUGCUCGAGUGGCGAACGGGUGAGUAACACGUGAGUAACCUGCCCUUGACUUUGGGAUAACUUCAGGAAACUGGGGCUAAUACCGGAUAGGAGCUCCUGCUGCAUGGUGGGGGUUGGAAAGUUUCGGCGGUUGGGGAUGGACUCGCGGCUUAUCAGCUUGUUGGUGGGGUAGUGGCUUACCAAGGCUUUGACGGGUAGCCGGCCUGAGAGGGUGACCGGCCACAUUGGGACUGAGAUACGGCCCAGACGCCUACGGGAGGCAGCAGUGGGGAGUAUUGCACAAUGGGCGGAAGCCUGAUGCAGCAACGCCGCGUGCGGGAUGACGGCCUUCGGGUUAUAAACCGCUUUCGCCUGUGACGAAGCGUGAGUGACGGUAAUGGGUAAAGAAGCACCGGCUAACUACGUG